This 1729-nucleotide ribosomal RNA is filed under the name Echinorhynchus truttae. RNAcentral's name for it is "SSU rRNA". It matches the Rfam family "Eukaryotic small subunit ribosomal RNA". Lineage: Eukaryota; Metazoa; Acanthocephala; Palaeacanthocephala; Echinorhynchida; Echinorhynchidae. The record is from RNAcentral.
AGAUUAAGCCAUGCAUGUGUAAGUGCAUACCAGAUAUGGUGAAAACCGCGAAUGGCUCAUUACAUCAGUCGUAGUUUAUGGGACAAUAUGACAGGUGGACAACUGUGGAAAAUCUAGAGCUAAUACAUGCACACAAGUCCUGACGCAAGAAAGGACGCAUUUAUCAGAUCAAAGCCAACGUUCUCGCAAGGGAGCAAAAUUAUGAUGACUCUGGGUAAAUUUUCGGAUUGCACUGCCUUCGAGCAGGCGACGUUGAUUGCAAGUGUCUGACCUAUCAACUUUUGAUGGCAGUCGACAUUACUGCCAUGGUUGUAACGGGUAACGGGGAAUCAGGGUUCGAUUCCGGAGAGAGAGCAUGAGAAAUGGCUGUCACAUCCAAGGAAGGCAGCAGGCGCGCAAAUUACCCAAUCCCCGAUCGGGGAGGUAGUGACGAGAAAUAGCGAUGCCGCGAUCAUUUGAUUCGGCAGUUGAAAUGAGAACAAUGAAAGAAUUUUAUCGAGAAUCUAUUGGAGGGCAAGUUCUGGUGCCAGCAGCCGCGGUAAUUCCAGCUCGAAAAGCGUAUGUUAAAGUUGCUGCGGUUAAAACGCUCGUCGUUGGACAUCAGGAGAUGGAUCGUGGACAACCUAGAGUUGCUACUACGGUUUCACUCCUUUUUUAUGCCAGUUCAUCGAUGAUGUACUUGAAUGUGUGUCACGGUAGAAGGUCAAUGUCACUUUGAGAAAAUUAGUGUGCUCAACGCAGGCUUUACGCUUGUAUAAUGCUGCAUGGGAUGACGGAAUAGGGCCUCGGUUCCGUUUCGUUGGUUUACGAAAGCAGAGGUCAUGAUUAAUCGGGACAGACGGGGGCAUUCGUAUUGCGAUGCUAGAAGUGAAAUUCUGUGACCAUCGCAAGACGGACAACUGCGAAAGCAUUUGCCAAGAAUGUUUUCAUUAAUCAAGAACGAAAGUUAGAGGAUCGAAGACGAUUAGAUACUGUCCUAGUUCUAACUGUAAACUAUGCCGACCGGGGAUUCGCCAAUGCAAUAUUGCUUGGCGAGCACCCUCCGGGAAACCAAAGUGAUUGGGUUCCGGGGGGAGUAUGGUUGCAAAAUCGAAACUUAAAGGAAUUGACGGAGGGGCACACCAGAAGUGGAGCCUGCGGCUCAAUUUGACUCAACGCACGAAAGCUUACUCGGUCCGAACACCGUGAGGAUUGACAGGUUGAAAGCUCUUUCUUGAUCCGGUGGGUAGCGGUGCAUGGCCGUUCGUAGUUGGUGAAGUGAUUUGUCUGGUUUAUUCCGAUAACGAACGAGACUCUAGCCUACUAAUUAGCGUGAUGAUUGAUCGUCAUUACAAAUGCUUCUUAGAGGGACAGGUGUUGCUUAAACACACGAAGUAGAGCAAUAACAGGUCUGUGAUGCCCUUCGAUGUUCGAGGCUGCACGCGCGCUACAAUGGAGGGCGCAAAGCGCACUACGCAUUUUGAAAAGGAUGCGGAAUCGUAAAUAGCCUUCAUGACUGGGAUCGGAGAUUGAAAUUAUUCUUCGUGAACGAGGAAUUCCUAGUAAGCGCGAAUCAUUACCUCGCGUUGAUUAAGUCCCUGCCCUUUGUACACACCGCCCGUCGCUACUACCGAUUGAAUGAUUUGGUGAGGUCUGUGGAUAGGUGUCACUGGGUUAACCCCCUGUUGUACUUACCUAGAAGCUGACCAAGCUUAAGCGUUUAGAGGAAGUAAAAGUCGUAACAAGGUUU